Molecule: long non-coding RNA, 1144 nt
Filed under: Monodelphis domestica (gray short-tailed opossum)
Lineage: Eukaryota; Metazoa; Chordata; Mammalia; Didelphimorphia; Didelphidae
Description: lncRNA (ENSMODG00000046403.1)
Source: RNAcentral
UUCAGCUCAAUAAUAAGCAUUUAUGACCUCUAAUAGUUACCAGAGACACAAGAAAACAGAACAGAAUCCCCUCACAAGGAGUUCCUGUUUUUCUAGAUGAUGUAAAUCAAAUAGAAAUGUGGGCUAUGAAGAUAUUUUUAAAAGACACCAUUAAUUGACCAGGGGUGGCUAAAAGGGCAUCUUCAAGGAAGCAAGAAGCAAAAAUGAGGCGAUAACGCAUUCCAGGCACAUCGAAGCUUGUGUGUGUGAAAUAACUCUAGAAAUUAAUUAGCCACAAAUCUCUCCAGUUUUAUAAAUGGCCACCUGAAGCCCAAGACAGGAAAGAUAAGAACCGGUGUCAGGAAGAAUUCAGAUCUAGCUCUCUUCUGAUACCAGUCCAGCUGGCUAGCACCGUGCUGCCACUACUAGAAUGUUCCUCGUCUGAUGCCAUGGAGCGGCAUUUUGUUUGUUUUGGUGAUCAAUCCCGCUAGAGAAGGGAAGCAUGAUGCAAAAUGAUACAGGAAUGUCCUUCCUCGCUGAGCAUCCCAUGGUGAGUCCGCAGGCAGCCAUAGAAGUGCACAGAGCACGACUGCACAAGACCGUACACACCGCCUUCUCCUGAUUCUUCUCUGCAUGGACUCACACACAAGUACGCCUGCGGUUACUUUGUUUCCCCAGAUACAGCGUAAGCUCUGAGAUGAGAAGAUAUUCCGCUUUAUGCCCCCGGGGCAGGCAGGCGGUAAAAUAGAUUAGGAAGUACCUAAUUGGGGACUGAUGAUGAUCUCUGCCAAACGCCCCCCAGCUCCAGCACGGCUGGCACAGCGGCGUCCUCCCCGCAUCUCCUGUUCUUACGUUUAACAGCCAGGGAUUCCAGUGCUGGGUGUGGCCGUGCCACAGAUCUGUUUUGUUCUGACACUGGAUGCAUUUUCACCCUGACUGUGACCAGAUACGUGUCCAAAGACUGGAGAAGCCUCCUUUGGCUAUCAACGACUAUUCAAUAGGAGGAAAAAAAGAAGACUUUUGGAAUAAUCGAAUGCAACCCUUUCAUUUUACAAUUGCGGAAAUUAAGGCCAAGAAGAGUCAUAAAGACAAACUGAAACUUGACAAUAUCUUCUCUGCCUUCCAUUUUCUUCUGAAUGAUGCGGAACUUAGAGGCGAGCACUGA